This 766-nucleotide ribosomal RNA is filed under the name uncultured bacterium. Its description in RNAcentral is "bacterial SSU rRNA". It matches the Rfam family "Bacterial small subunit ribosomal RNA", at positions 8 to 790 of the family's 1533-position model. The record is from RNAcentral. RNAcentral also lists the same sequence under 1 other name.
GGAGAGUUUGAUCAUGGCUCAGGACGAACGCUGGCGGCGUGCCUAACACAUGCAAGUCGAACGAGGUCGCCUUCGGGCAAUGACCUAGUGGCGAACGGGUGCGUAACACGUGAGGAACCUGCCCCGAAGACUGGGACAACCACGGGAAACUGUGGCUAAUACCAGAUGCCCUCCUCUGAUCGCAUGAUCGGAUGAGGAAAUGCUCCGGCGCUUCGGGAGGGCCUCGCGGCCUAUCAGCUUGUUGGUGGGGUAACGGCUCACCAAGGCAGUGACGGGUAGCUGGUCUGAGAGGACGAUCAGCCACACUGGGACUGAGACACGGCCCAGACUCCUGCGGGAGGCAGCAGUGGGGAAUCUUGCGCAAUGGGCGAAAGCCUGACGCAGCAACGCCGCGUGGGGGAUGAAGGCUCUCGGGUUGUAAACCCCUUUCAGCAGGGACGAAAUUGACGGUACCUGAAGAAGAAGCCCCGGCCAACUACGUGCCAGCAGCCGCGGUGACACGUAGGGGGCGAGCGUUGUCCGGAAUUAUUGGGCGUAAAGAGCUCGUAGGCGGUUUAGUAAGUCAGAUGUGAAAGGUUGGGGCUCAACCCUAAGACUGCAUCCGAUACUGCUAUGACUAGAGUCCGGUAGAGGAGUGUGGAAUUCCUGGUGUAGCGGUGAAAUGCGCAGAUAUCAGGAGGAACACCGACGGCGAAGGCAGCACUCUGGGCCGGUACUGACGCUCAGGAGCGAAAGCGUGGGUAGCAAACAGGAUUAGAUACCCUGG